AUUGAACGCUGGCGGCAGGCCUAACACAUGCAAGUCGAACGAGUGGCGGACGGGUGAGUAAUGUCUGGGAAACUGCCUGAUGGAUGGGGAUAACUACUGGAAACGGUAGCUAAUACCGCAUACCAUCGGAUGUGCCCGGAUGGGAUGAGCUAGUGGGUGGGGUAAAGGCUGACCUAGGCGACGAUCCCUUCCUGGUCUGAGAGGAUGACCAGCCACACUGGAAAUGAGACACGGUCCAGACGCCUACGGGAGGCAGCAGUGGGGAAUAGUGGACAAUGGGCGAAAGCCUGAUGCAGCCAUGCCGCGUGUGUGAAGAAGGCCUUCGGAUUGUAAAGUACUUUCAGCGGGGAGGCGUUACCCACAGAAGAAGCACCGGCUAACUCCGUGCCAGCAGCCGCGGUAAUAC
This 406-nucleotide ribosomal RNA is filed under the name uncultured bacterium. RNAcentral's name for it is "partial 16S ribosomal RNA". It matches the Rfam family "Bacterial small subunit ribosomal RNA", at positions 30 to 526 of the family's 1533-position model. The record is from RNAcentral.